RNAcentral lists this ribosomal RNA (332 nucleotides) under Paenibacillus campinasensis. RNAcentral's name for it is "bacterial SSU rRNA". It matches the Rfam family "Bacterial small subunit ribosomal RNA", at positions 1 to 318 of the family's 1533-position model. Lineage: Bacteria; Bacillati; Bacillota; Bacilli; Caryophanales; Paenibacillaceae. The record is from RNAcentral.
UUUAUUGGAGAGUUUGAUCCUGGCUCAGGACGAACGCUGGCGGCGUGCCUAAUACAUGCAAGUCGAGCGGAAUCGAUGGAGUGCUUGCACUCCUGAGAUUUAGCGGCGGACGGGUGAGUAACACGUAGGCAACCUGCCCUCAAGACUGGGAUAACUACCGGAAACGGUAGCUAAUACCAGAUAGGAUAUUUGGCUGCAUGGCUGAAUAUGGAAAGGCGGAGCAAUCUGUCACUUGAGGAUGGGCCUGCGGCGCAUUAGCUAGUUGGUGGGGUAAUGGCCUACCAAGGCGACGAUGCGUAGCCGACCUGAGAGGGUGAACGGCCACACUGGGA